GACGAACGCUGGCGGCGUGCUUAACACAUGCAAGUCGAACGGUAAGGCCCUGCCUUUGUGGGCCGCUCGAGUGGCGAACGGGUGAGUAACACGUGGGUAACCUGCCCUUUACUUUGGGAUAACUUCAGGAAACUGGGGCUAAUACCGGAUAGGAGCCCCUGCUGCAUGGUGGGGGUUGGAAAGGUUCGGCGGUUGGGGAUGGACUCGCGGCUUAUCAGCUUGUUGGCGGGGUAGUGGUUUACCAAGGCUUUGACGGGUAGCCGGCCUGAGAGGGUGACCGGCCACAUUGGGCCUGAGAUACGACCCAGACUCCUACGGGAGGCAGCGGUGGGAGUUGUUGCACAAUGGGCGGAAGCCUGAUGCAGCGACGUCGCGUGCGGGAUGACGGCCUUCGGGUUGUAAACCGCUUUCGCCUGUGACGAGGCGUGAGUGACGGUAAUGGAUAAAGAAGCAACGGCUAACUACGUG
Molecule: ribosomal RNA, 468 nt
Filed under: uncultured bacterium
Lineage: Bacteria
Description: partial 16S ribosomal RNA
Rfam family: Bacterial small subunit ribosomal RNA
Source: RNAcentral